Molecule: ribosomal RNA, 465 nt
Filed under: uncultured bacterium
Lineage: Bacteria
Description: partial 16S ribosomal RNA
Rfam family: Bacterial small subunit ribosomal RNA
Source: RNAcentral
GAUGAACGCUGGCGGCGUGCUUAACACAUGCAAGUCGAACGGAAAGGCCCAAGCUUGCUUGGGUACUCGAGUGGCGAACGGGUGAGUAACACGUGGGUGAUCUGCCCUGCACUUCGGGAUAAGCCUGGGAAACUGGGUCUAAUACCGGAUAGGACCACAUUUUGGAUGGUGUGGUGGAAAGUGUUUCGGUGUGGGAUGAGCUCGCGGCCUAUCAGCUUGUUGGUGGGGUAAUGGCCUACCAAGGCGUCGACGGGUAGCCGGCCUGAGAGGGUGUACGGCAAGAGUGGGACUGAGAGACGGCACAGAGGCAGACGGGAGGCAGCAGUGGGGAUGAUGGCAGAAGGGGCGGAAGUCGGAUGCAGCAACGCCGCGUGCGGGAGGACGGACUUCGGGUUGUAAACAGCUUUCGCCUGUGAAGAAGCGUGAGGGACGGUAAUGGGUAAAGAAGCACCGGCGAACUACGUG